AGAAUCGGACCACCCAAUAGCUAGAUGUGAACUUUCGAGGCCUCCGACCCCGUUCUAAGUCCGACCGUUUCUUUCUAGGCCACCAUUGUGCCUUUCUUCGGCGUUUUGGGUCAGAACCAAGAAAUCGAGUCUGGGCAUCACCGUUCGCCUUUUGUGGGCAAGAAACUUCAAGAUCACUCAGAAUCUGACCACCCAGUAGUUAAAUGUGAACUUUCGAGGCCUCCGACCCCGUUCUAAGUUCGGCCGUUCCUUUCCUUUCUAAGCCACCAUUGUGCCUUUCUUCGGCGUUUUGGGACGGAACAAAGAAACCGAGUCUGGCGCAUCACCGUUCCGCUUUUGUGGGCAAGAAACUUCGAGAUCACUCAGAAUCGGACCACCCAUUAGUUAGAUGUGAACUUUCGAGGCCUCCGACCACUUUCUAAGUUCGGCCGCUCCUUUCCUUUCUAGGCCACCGUUGUGCCUUUCUUCGGCGUUUUGGGACAAAACCAAAAAACCGAGUCGGGGCAUCACCGUUCGCAUUUUGUGGGCAAGAAACUUCGAGAUCACUCAGAAUCGGACCACCCAUUAGUUAGAUGUGAACUUUCGAGGCCUCCGACCCCCUUCUAAGUUCGGCCGUUCCUUUCCUUUCUAGGCCACCAUUGUGCCUUUCUUCGGCGUUUUGGGACGAAACCAAGAAACCGAGUCUGGGGCAUCACUGUUCGCAUUUUGUGGGCAAGAAACUUCGAGAUCACUCAGAAUCGGACCACCCAGUAGUUAGAUGUGAACUUUCGAGGCCUACGACACCGUUCUAAGUUUGGCCGUUCCUUUCCUUUCUAGGCCACCAUUGUGCCUUUCUUCGGUGUUUUGGGACGGAACCAAGAAACCGAGUCUGGAGCAUCACCGUUCGCAUUUUGUGGGCAAGAAACUUUGAGAUCACUCAGAAUCGGACCACCCAGUAGUUAGAUGUGAACUUUCGAGGCCUACGACACCGUUCUAAGUUCGGUCGUUCCUUUCCUUUCUAGGCCACCAUUGUGCCUUUCUUCGGCGUUUUGGGACGGAACGAAGAAACCGAGAAUGGGGCAUCAACGUUCGACUCGGCUUUUGUGGGCAAGAAACUUCGAGAUCACUCAGAAUCGGACCACUCAGUAGUUAGAUGUGAACUUUCGAGUCCUCUGACCCCGUUCUAAGUUCGGCCGUUGCUUUCCUUUCUAGGCCACCAUUGGGCCUUUCUUCGGCGUUUUGGGACGGAACCAAGAAACCGAGUCUGGGGCAUCACCGUUCGGCGUUUUGGGACAGAAUCAAGGGUCCUCUGUUAGAGAACAUGUUCUGGACAUGAUGAUGCACUUCAACAUCGCUGAAGUGAAUGGUGGUCCCAUCGAAGAGGUUAAUCAAGUUAGUUUUAUCUUAGAGUCUCUUCCGAAGGGCUUUAUUCCAUUCCAAACGAAUGCGUCUUUGAAUAAGAUAGAAUUUAACUUGACAACCCUUCUGAAUGAACUCCAGCGAUUCUAAAACCUUACUAUGGGUAAAGGAAAACAAGUGGAAGCAAAUGUUGCUAUCACAAAAAGAAAAUUUAUAUUUUGAAUAAUGUUCCCUCUAAAAGUGUUUCAGAAACACCUUAUGAGCUAUGGAAAGGGCGUAAAGGAAGUUUACGUCAUUUUAGAAUUUGGGGUUGUCCGGCACACGUGUUGGUACAAAAUCCUAAGAAAUUGGAACAUCGUUCAAAAUUAUGCUUUUUUAUAGGUUAUCCAAAAGAAUCAAGAGGUGGUUUGUUUUAUGAUCCUCAAGAAAAUAAAAUAUUUGUGUCAACAAAUGCCACAUUCUUAGAGGAAGACCACAUCAGGGAUCAUCAACCUCGUAGUAAACUAGUAUUAAAAGAAAUUUCCAAAAGUGCUAUAGAUAAACCUAGUUCAUCCACUAAGGUAGUUGAUAAGACUAGGAAAUCUGGACAAUCACAUCCUUCUCAACAGUUGAGAGAGCCUCGACGUAGUGGGAGGGUUGUUCAUCAGCCUGAUCGCUAUUUGGGUUUAAUUGAAACUCAAGUCGUCAUACCUGACGAUGGCAUAGAGGAUCCAUUAACCUAUAAACAGGCAAUGAAAGAUGUAGAUCGUGACCAAUGGAUCAAAGCCAUGGACCUCGAAAUGGAGUCUAUGUACUUUAAUUCUGUCUGGACUCUAGUAGAUCAACCAAAUGACGUAAAACCUAUUGGUUGUAAAUGGAUCUACAAGAGAAAACGAGACCAUGCCGGUAAAGUACAGACUUUCAAGGCUCGACUUGUGGCAAAGGGUUAUACCCAGAGAGAGGGAGUAGACUAUGAGGAAACUUUCUCUCCUGUUGCCAUGUUAAAGUCAAUUAGAAUACUCUUAUCCAUCGCCACUUUUUAUGAUUAUGAAAUUUGGCAGAUGGAUGUCAAGACAGCUUUUUUGAAUGGUAAUCUUGAAAGAGAGUAUCUAUAUGUCUCAACCAGAGGGGUUUAUAGAACAAGAUCAAGAACAAAAGGUUUGUAAGCUUAAAAAAAUCCAUUUAUGGAUUAAAACAAGCUUCUAGAUCCUGGAAUAUAAGAUUUGAUACUGCGAUCAAAUCUUAUGGCUUUGAACAAAAUGUUGACGAGCCUUGUGUUUACAAAAAGGUCGUCAAUUCCAUUAUAGCAUUUUUAGUCUUAUAUGUAGAUGAUAUUCUACUUAUUGGAAAUGACGUAGGAUAUCUUACUGAUAUCAAGAAAUGGCUAGCUAUGCAAUUUCAAAUGAAAGAUCUGGGAGAUGCACAAUACGUUCUCGGAAUCCAAAUUGUUCGAAACCGUAAGAACAAAACACUAGCCAUGUCUCAAGCAUCUUACAUAGACAAAAUGUUGUCUAGAUAUAAAAUGCAGAAUUCCAAAAAGGGUCUGCUGCCGUACAGAUAUGGAAUUCAUUUGUCAAAGGAACAAUGUCCUAAGACACCUCAAGAAGUUGAGGAUAUGAGAAAUAUUCCCUAUGCUUCCGCUGUUGGAAGUUUAAUGUAUGCAAUGUUAUGUACUAGACCUGACAUUUGCUACUCAGUAGGGAUGGUCAGUAGGUAUCAAUCCAAUCCUGGACGUGAUCACUGGACAGCCGUUAAAAACAUUCUAAAAUAUCUUCGAAGAACAAAAGACUACAUGCUCAUGUAUGGUACAAAGGAUCUGAUCCUUACUGGAUACACUGAUUCAGAUUUCCAAACUGAUAAAGAUGCUAGAAAGUCUACAUCAGGAUCAGUAUUUACUCUAAAUGGAGGAGCAGUAGUUUGGAGAAGCAUAAAGCAAACUUGUAUAGCUGAUUCCACAAUGGAAGCUGAAUACGUAGCGGCUUGUGAAGCAGCAAAAGAAGCAGUAUGGCUAAGAAAAUUCUUGACAGAUUUGGAAGUCGUUCCAAAUAUGCAUCUACCAAUCACUUUAUACUGUGACAACAGUGGUGCAGUUGCAAAUUCAAGAGAACCUAGAAGCCAUAAAAGAGGAAAGCAUAUUGAACGCAAGUACCAUCUUAUCAGGGAAAUUGUACAUCGUGGUGACGUUGUAGUAACCCAGAUUUCUUCUCAGCAAAACAUUGCUGAUCCUUUUACAAAAGCUCUCACGGCUAAAGUGUUUGAGGGUCACCUACACAGUUUAGGUCUACGAUGUUUGUAAACUAGGACAAGUGGGAGACUUAUUGGCCAUGUGCCCUAGUUUCAUAUAUAUUCUCUCACACCACAUCUCUCAUCCCACUAGGAAUUUUAGUCCAAGUGGGAGUUUGUUGGAAUUUUUUGUCCUAAAACUCGUAGUUUGUAAAUCAUAUUCUGUUCAAUAAAGUUGUUAUUGAGAAAUUAAAUAUUAUAAUCUUAAAUCCAAUAAAUCAAGUUCCAAGGCUAUUUUUUGAAUAAACUUGAACUUUAUGUGUAAACAUAAACGUGGAUCAAGUUCGAGUACAUAGCCUAAAUAGUCUAUAGUAUAUGAAAUAAAGGUUGGGCGCCUUAUUUAGAGAAACUAUGGAUGCGGCCCACUUUGUAAAACAAACGAGGUGAUCCUAAUCGUUCAUGUAGACACAUGAAAGCGGGGCAUCCUAUGUAAAAUGUUUACAUAAGACUGAACCAUGAAUUAGUCAUUUUUACGUUAUAACACCGUUUACUGUUUAAAACUGACUAUCUCAAUUAUUGAUGACCUAGGUAACUUAGUCUUAAUCCUGAGUUAACUAUGAACUCCUGUUCACACGAGAUUAUCCUUAGAUCUGCAUAGGUGAGGGCAGCUCAUCAGCGUUGGCCCAAUAAGCCUCCCAUUUCAGGGGUAAGAUCGGGUGGAUAGCUGGGAACAUAGGGUACAAGAUGGAAUUCACUCCUACCCGCUUUAGGGUUAGUAGAUAGGUUGCUCUCUUAAGCACUGAAUCCAAGUCUUGAACAAGGGGCCCCACCCUCUCAUUGGCCCGAGAGGGAUUAAGUUUAUAGGUUGAACCUUAAACCAAUUGUUCAAUAGUGGAUUAGUGGGACUUAAGGAGCAAGAUGUAAUCUUGGGGGUAAAACGGUAUUUUGACCCAGCCAAGGUUACGAGCAACCUGUGAAGGAUUAACUUACUGAUUAUGGUUUUAUCAAAUGGACACAAAUAUAUCUAUAGUGAGGGGAGUGCAACUACGGGACUUUAGUGGAAUGACCCGUUAGUUAACGAAUGUUGAUUAACUCGGUUUAAAAGAGUUUAGCUAGUUAAUCUUGAAUCGUUGGAGCCCAUGAUCUAUAGGUCCAUUAGGUUCCUCUGCUAGCUCAUAUGGAUUAAACUUAGAACAGUGUGAUGAAAUAAGUCGAAUUGUUCGAAUUGGGAGAAGAAAGGGAAACCGACAAAUAUAGUGAUAUAGUCGUCGGUCUUCUAAUUAGAAAUAGAGCUUUAUGUUUUACAUACUAUAAGUAUGAAUGCGGAUUCAUACUAAGAAGCUCGGAAUUGAUGGAAUUGGUCAAAAAUAGUAAAAAGUCAAAAUGUUGACUUUUGACUUUGAAAAGUCAAACUUUGACCGGCCUUAUAUUCAAAUGUGAUUUGAAUUUUGGAAAAAUGAAUGCGGAUUCAUGCUCGGAAGGAUGGAGUUAGUCAAGACGGACAAAAUGGUAAAAAGUCAAAAUAUUGACUUUUGACUAAGAAAAGUCAAAGUUUGACUUUUGACUAAGAAAAGUCAAAGUUUGACUUUUGACUAGAAAUAUCUAAUGACCAUUUUACCCUUGGACUAAGUUAGUGGGAAAAUCCAACAUUUUGUUGGAUAAUCCCACUAACUCUUAGUGGGAUAUGUGGCUAUAUGAGAUAUAGACACCUAGCCCACUAAGUUCCACUAAUUGUUAGUGGAACAUUAGGUGUUGAGAUUUGGCAAAUGAAUUGCAUGCAUUUUUGCAUGUAAUUAGGUUAUAAAUAGAGGUGUUUUCAAAUGUUGAAGGACUUUUGCCUCUUUUAUCAUUUUCAUCAUCUCAACAAAAGAAAAAAGAAAGCUUCCAAUCUCAUUUUAUCUCCAUUACUUUCUACACCAAAAUUGGGUCUCACAACCCGGUUCUUUGUCUAGAGGAUAGCAGUUGAGUACUAGUGGUGGUCUCGGUUAGAAUUGGUAAGAAUAUAUCGAACCUUUUGAAAGCUUCAAAGGUAAUAUUUCUUAAAACCCUAAUUUGAUUAGUUUAUGGUUAUAUGUUAAUUGUGGCAAUUAGGGUAGAAAUUCAAUUCUUUUUCCGCUGUGCAUGACUUAGUUCUAUCACGUUCGCCUUUUGUGGGCAAGAAACUUCGAGAUCACUCAGAAUCGGACCACGCAGUAGUUAGAUGUGAACUUUCGAGGCCUCUGACUCCGUUCUAUGUCCGACUGUUCCUUUCUAGGCCACCAUUGUGCCUUUCUUCGGCGUUUUGGGACGAAACCAAGAAACCGAGUCUGGGGCAUCACCGUUCGCCUUUUGUGGGCAAGAAACUUGGAGAUCACUCAGAAUCGGACCACCCAUGAGUUAGAUGUGAACUUUCGAGUCCUCCAACCCCGUUCUAAGUCCGACCGUUCCUUUCCUUUCUAGGCAACCAUUGGGCCUUUCUUCGACGUUUUGGGACAGAACCAAGAAACCGAGUCUGAGGCAUCACCCUUCGGCUUUUGUGGGUAAGAAACUUCGAGAUCACUCAGAAUCUGACCACCCAGUAGUUAGAUGUGAACUUUCGAGGCCUCCGACCCCGUUCUAAGUCCGGCCGUUCCUUUCUAGGCCACCAUUGUGCCUUUCUUCGGCGUUUUGGGACGGAACCAAGAAACCGAGUUUGGGGCAUCACCGUUCGCAUUUUGUGGGCAAGAAACUUCGAGAUAACUCAGAAUCGGACCACCUAGUAGUUAGAUGUGAACUUUCGAGGGCUCCACCCCGUUCUAAGUCCGGCCGUUCCUUUCAUUUCUAGGCCACCAUUGUGCCUUUCUUCGGCGUUUUGGGACGGAACCAAGAAACCGAGUCUGGGGCAUCACCGUUCGCAUUUUGUGGGCAAGAAACUUCGAGAUAACUCAGAAUCGGACCACCCAGUAGUUAGAUGUGAACUUUCGAGGGCUCCACCCCGUUCUAAGUCCGGCCGUUCCUUUCCUUUCUAGGCCACCAUUGUGCCUUUCUUCGGCGUUUUGGGACGGAACCAAGAAACCGAGUUCGGGGCAUCACCGUUCGCAUUUUGUGGGCAAGAAACUUCGAGAUAACUCAGAAUCGGACGACCCAGUAGUUAGAUGUGAACUUUCGAGGGCUCCACCCCGUUCUAAGUUCGGCCGUUCCUUUCCUUUCUAGGCCACCAUUGUUCCUUUCUUCGGCGUUUUGGGACGUAACCAAGAAACCGAGUCUGGGGCAUCACCGUUCAGCUUUUAUGGACAAGAAACUUCGAGAUCACUCAGAAUCGGACCACCCAGUAGUUAGAUGUCACAGAACCAUCUAUUGAUGCACCUAGAGAUCCAUUAUACAAGUCUGAAAAGGAGGUUCUUAAGGUAAGGUUGGACUUAAGAAUUUGAUGAUUGUUCACUCUAUUUUUCUAUUUCUAGUGAAAGUGAUGAUAAUUUAAUGGACUAUUCGAUUUCUUUGUAAAUCCGAGUAUAGGUUUCGCUGCGAUACGUUAGAAUAGAAGUAACUAGCAUAUACAUACAAAGUGACGUUCAUUGACUCAACGACGUUUGAAAUUUAAGAAUAUUAUGGCUGUUGGAGCAUCCAUUGAAGGAUGGAAAUAUUGUAGACCCAACAUAUCGGUUGACGACACUUUUUUGAAAUCUAAAUAUGGUGGAACUCUUUUGACGGCUUCAACAAUUGAUGGUAAUAAUCAAAUUUUUCCAUUGGCCUUCAGUAUUGUAGAUUCCGAAAAUGAUGAAUCCUGGAGAUGGUUUUUUGAGAAUAUAAAGAAAAGUUUAGGGGAUCGGGAAGGUUUAGUUGUAAUAUCUGAUCGACAUUUAAGUAUUCCAAAAAGUGUUCAUAACGUUUUUCCAAAUGCUGAAUAUUGUGUUUGUUUGCAACAGCUUCUAAAAAGUUUGAAGUUGAUGUAUAAGGACCCUAUAAUUGAUAAGCUCUUUUUUAGAUGUGGAAAAGCAUAUACUGUUGUUGAUUUUGAGACUAAUAUGAAAUGGAUGGAGUCUAUGUAUCCUAGUAUACGAGACUAUCUUAGUAAGGUUGGUUUUGAAAAGUGGGCUCGAGUAUAUUUUACAAAGAAAAGAUAUCAAAUGAUGACUACAAACAUUUCAGAAAGCUUAAAUUCAGUUCUAAAAGAAUCUAGAGAUUUGCCUGUUGCAACAUUACUCGAUUCUAUCAGGCAAAUACUUCAAAAUUGGUUUUAUGAUCGAAGAAAAGUUGCAUGUUGUAUGAGAACUAUUUUAACUAGUUGGGCUGAGGGAGAAUUACGUAUGCAACAUCAAAACUCAAGAAGCUUCACAGUAAGUUUUUGUGUUUUAAUGUUUAUUUACUUAAUUAGUGAGUAAUAUAACAAGACCUAUCAAUGAUAGAUUUUAUCACCGAUAGAUUCUUAUUAUGCAUCAGUGAUAGAUUCUAUCAAUGAUAGAUCAUAUGUGUUGACUAAGUUUGUUCUUUUUUUCUUUUCAGGUUAAUGCUAUUAAUGAUGUUGAAUUUCAAGUGAUUGAUGGAAGAAAACAAUUUAUGGUACAUUUAAAUUGCAAAUCAUGUACCUGUCGCGUUUGGGAUCUUGAUGAAAUUCCAUGCGCUCAUGCACUUGCUGUUCUUCGUGGAUGCAAUAUGAAUACUUACUCUUUUGUUUCCAAUUAUUUUUUGUCAAGCACUUUGGUUUUAGCUUAUACUGGAUUAGUUCGUCCAGUUGGGAACCAUUCUAAUUAGAAAUCUAUUGGGGUUGACAUGAACAUACUUCCUCUAGUUUUCAAGAGUCGAGCUGGAUGACCACGAAAACAGAGAACAUUAUCAAUUGGCGAGAAGAAAAGUCAACCAAAAUGCAAUCAUUGUCGUCGUGCUGGUCACAAUCGUAGAAAUUGCAAAUUUUCACCAUUUUUACAAUGAUAUGACAUU
Molecule: long non-coding RNA, 8436 nt
Filed under: Cucumis sativus (cucumber)
Lineage: Eukaryota; Viridiplantae; Streptophyta; Magnoliopsida; Cucurbitales; Cucurbitaceae
Description: long non-coding RNA (CSAT_LNC000180)
Source: RNAcentral